RNAcentral lists this ribosomal RNA (483 nucleotides) under uncultured bacterium. RNAcentral's name for it is "partial 16S ribosomal RNA". It matches the Rfam family "Bacterial small subunit ribosomal RNA", at positions 30 to 506 of the family's 1533-position model. The record is from RNAcentral.
AUUGAACGCUGGCGGCAGGCCUAACACAUGCAAGUCGAGCGGAUGAAGGGAGCUUGCUCCUGGAUUCAGCGGCGGACGGGUGAGUAAUGCCUAGGAAUCUGCCUGGUAGUGGGGGAUAACGUCCGGAAACGGGCGCUAAUACCGCAUACGUCCUGAGGGAGAAAGUGGGGGAUCUUCGGACCUCACGCUAUCAGAUGAGCCUAGGUCGGAUUAGCUAGUUGGUGGGGUAAAGGCCUACCAAGGCGACGAUCCGUAACUGGUCUGAGAGGAUGAUCAGUCACACUGGAACUGAGCCACGGUCCAGACUCCUACGGGAGGCAGCAGUGGGGAAGAUUGGAAAAUGGGCGAAAGCCUGAUCCAGCCAUGCCGCGUGUGUGAAGAAGGUCUUCGGAUUGUAAAGCACUUUAAGUUGGGAGGAAGGGCAGUAAGUUAAUACCUUGCUGUUUUGACGUUACCAACAGAAUAAGCACCGGCUAACUUCGU